UUAACUAUUCGUCUUUUCUUCAGAGGGCAUAGGUAUCUGAGUUUUGGUCUUUCGGCAGGCGUUACUGUAGGCCCGCCCUGGGCCCGCCUGCCGAAGCAACUGCCGAGAGUUCACAAGGGUUUGGAGCUUUGCAACUCGGUAAUGAUCCCUCCGCUGGUUCACCAACGGAGA
RNAcentral lists this unclassified non-coding RNA (171 nucleotides) under uncultured fungus. RNAcentral describes it as "sequence contains ITS1". The record is from RNAcentral. Lineage: Eukaryota; Fungi.